This 1245-nucleotide ribosomal RNA is filed under the name Triticum aestivum (bread wheat). RNAcentral describes it as "partial small subunit ribosomal RNA". Lineage: Eukaryota; Viridiplantae; Streptophyta; Magnoliopsida; Poales; Poaceae. The record is from RNAcentral.
AUGGCACCUCUGUGCCUCGCGCCCCUGCCUCGACAGAAACUCCGGCGAGCCCUCAAGCUACUUCCCGUCGCAUGCUGGCUUCUUCACUGCUGCCCCUGCUUUGGUCCUCCUGCUGCUGUGCACCGGCGCGCGGGUGCUUUCCUCUGUCUAGCGCCUCCGCCUCCACGAACCCCUCCGUCCUCAUGGCCGAGCGCCUCGCCGCUGGCCAGCGCCGCGGACAUUCGUGACCGCGCGCGCCCGGAGCAGGUGCAAGCUUGCCAGCUACCGUCUGCAUGCAACAUCGGGUCGGCGCCGCUGCAUGCUGUUGCCGUUACCGGGGCGCGAGGAGGAGUGGUGUUGCUCCUGUGCCUGGCUGCGGUGGCGUCGGCGCAGAUGUCCCCGAUGUUCUACGACGCGUCGUGCCCCGGGGCGCUGGCCACCAUCAAGAACGGUGUGGUGGCCGCCGUGGGCAGCGACCCCCGCAUGGCUGCGUCGCUGCUCCGGCUGCACUUCCAUGACUGCUUUGGCUGCGACGCGUCCGUUCUGCUGGCUGGCAACGAGCGGAACGCGUUCGGGAACGUGGGAUCGCUGCGAGGCUUCGACGUCAUCGACCAAAUCAAGUCGAAUGUGGAGCAGGCGUGCAAGCGCACCGUCUCCUGCGCCGACAUCGUCGCCGUCGCCGCUCGCGAUUCCGUCGUCGCGGUAGGAGGGCCGUCAUGGACAGUCUCUCUGGGGAGGAGGGACUCCGACACGGCUAGCGAGACACUGGCCAACCGUGACCUGCCUGCCCCAUCACUUAGCGUCACCGACCUCAUCACCCGCUUCGCCGCCAAGGGGCUCAACCACACCGAUAUGGUCGCCCUCUCUGGUGCGCACACCAUAGGGCGGGCGCAGUGCAAGAACUUCAGGACCAGGCUCUACAGCGAGGAGAACAUUGACCCGGCCUUGGCGACGUCGCGCAAGGCCACCUGCCCUCAGCUAACCGGCUCUGGCGACAGCAACUUGGCCCCAUUGGACGAUACGACCCCGGACAUGUUCGACAACGCCUACUUCGUCAACCUCAAGCUCAAUAAGGGGCUCCUACACUCCGACCAGGUGCUCUACACCCUUGCCGGUGGUGCCACCGAAGACAUCAUUGACGGCUUCGCAUCUAACCAGGAUGCGUUCAACAACGCCUUUGCCGCAGCCAUGGUGAAGAUGGGGAACAUCAGCCCCUUGAUUUUCCCACAGGGUCAGGUCAGGCGCAUCUGCUCCAGGGCGAACUAA